Molecule: ribosomal RNA, 305 nt
Filed under: uncultured bacterium
Lineage: Bacteria
Description: bacterial SSU rRNA
Rfam family: Bacterial small subunit ribosomal RNA
Source: RNAcentral
UUACCUACGGGACGCAGCAGUGAGGAAUAUUGGUCAAUGGGCGCGAGCCUGAACCAGCCAAGUCGCGUGAGGGAAGACGGUCCUAUGGAUUGUAAACCUCUUUUGUCGGGGAGCAAAAGACGCCACGCGUGGCGUUCCGAGAGUACCCGAAGAAAAAGCAUCGGCUAACUCCGUGCCAGCAGCCGCGGUAAUACGGAGGAUGCGAGCGUUAUACGGAUUUAUUGGGUUUAAAGGGUGCGCAGGCGGAAGAUCAAGUCAGAGGUAAAAAUGAGAGGCGAAAACUCUUCGAGCCGUUGAAACUGGUU